Molecule: small nucleolar RNA, 107 nt
Organism: Raphanus sativus (radish)
Lineage: Eukaryota; Viridiplantae; Streptophyta; Magnoliopsida; Brassicales; Brassicaceae
Source: RefSeq, a predicted model, not a curated record
UAACCAUGACGGGGACAUUCGAGUUCAUAACUCUUGAAUCUUCCCCAUGCAUUUUGGAAUGAUUCCUGAGGAUCUUGGUGGAAUGUGGAAAUUUGCCUUCUUACCUC